UUGUUCUAUAAUCGAUAAUCCGCGUUAAAUCUUACUUAUUUUAUUUAAUUUGUAUAUCGUUGUCAUUAGAAUAUUUUAUAAGAAAAAUAAUUUUCUUUAAAUUAAAAUAAAUUUAUAUGUCAAAUCAAGGUGCAGUGUAUAUUUAAGUAGAAAUGAAUUACAAUAAGAUUUAAUUAAAUGAAUAAAUAAUUGAAAUAUUAUUUUGAAAGUGGAUUUGAUAGUAAAAUUAAUUAGACUGUUAAUUUGAUUAUAGCUCUAAAAUAUGUACA
Molecule: ribosomal RNA, 269 nt
Filed under: Phlebotomus chabaudi
Lineage: Eukaryota; Metazoa; Arthropoda; Insecta; Diptera; Psychodidae
Description: partial small subunit ribosomal RNA
Source: RNAcentral